GUGGACGGGAUAAGUGCUGAAAGCAUCUAAGCAUGAAGCCCCCCUCAAGAUGAGAUUUCCCAACUUCGGUUAUAAGAUCCCUCAAAGAUGAUGAGGUUAAUAGGUUCGAGGUGGAAGCAUGGUGACAUGUGGAGCUGACGAAUACUAAUCGAUCGAAGACUUAAUCAAAA
This 170-nucleotide ribosomal RNA is filed under the name Staphylococcus aureus. RNAcentral's name for it is "partial 23S ribosomal RNA". It matches the Rfam family "Bacterial large subunit ribosomal RNA", at positions 2755 to 2925 of the family's 2925-position model. Lineage: Bacteria; Bacillati; Bacillota; Bacilli; Caryophanales; Staphylococcaceae. The record is from RNAcentral.